GGUGCAGGUUACAGUAUUCCUACUUAAUAUUGUGCCACGUGAAGGUUGUUUGUGCUUGAGCAUAAGAUUUCUCUCUUUUCGUAUCUGAAUAUUCCCUUAUGAUAUCUGAUGGUUCGAGUGUGCUGGGAGAAGAUUUCUGGCAACAUAUAUGCAAUGAAAUAGCUGAAGAAGCCUGAUGUAGUUAAGAGGGGUCAAUACAUGCUUCGGUCCUAUGAAAUGUUUCCUCAGGAUGUAGUUGAGCCUGCAGAGCAGGCUGGUAAUAACUCGAUUUGAGGAAGGGGCUAGAACAUUCAUACAGUGAGAGUGUUCCUUAACAUUGUGAUAAGCAUAUAGACUGAAUAAAAACUUCUUUG
Molecule: long non-coding RNA, 353 nt
Organism: Lolium rigidum
Lineage: Eukaryota; Viridiplantae; Streptophyta; Magnoliopsida; Poales; Poaceae
Exons: 3
Source: RefSeq, a predicted model, not a curated record